AUUGGGCCCGACGUCGCAUGCUCCCGGCCGCCAUGGCGGCCGCGGGAAUUCGAUUAGAGUUUGAUCAUGGCUCAGAUUGAACGCUGGCGGCAGGCCUAACACAUGCAAGUCGAACGGUAACAGGAUAGCUUGCUAUCGCUGACGAGUGGCGGACGGGUGAGUAAUACUUAGGGAUCUGCCUCUGUGUGGGGGAUAACUAUUGGAAACGAUAGCUAAUACCGCAUAAUGUCUACGGACCAAAGCGGGCUUCGGCUCGUGCGCAGAGAGGAACCUAAGCGAGAUUAGCUAGUUGGUGAGGUAAAGGCUCACCAAGGCGACGAUCUCUAGCUGUUCUGAGAGGAAGAUCAGCCACACUGGAACUGAGACACGGUCCAGACUCCUACGGGAGGCAGCAGUGGGGAAUAUUGCACAAUGGGGGAAACCCUGAUGCAGCCAUGCCGCGUGUGUGAAGAAGGCCUUCGGGUUGUAAAGCACUUUCAGUUGUGAGGAAAGUUUAGUAGUUAAUACCUGCUAGAUGUGACGUUAGCAACAGAAGAAGCACCGGCUAACUCCGUGCCAGCAGCCGCGGUAAUACGGAGGGUGCGAGCGUUAAUCGGAAUUACUGGGCGUAAAGCGCACGCAGGCGGUCUGUUAAGCUAGAUGUGAAAGCCCCGCGCUCAACGUGGGAGGGUCAUUUAGAACUGGCAGACUAGAGUCUUGGAGAGGGGAGUGGAAUUCCAGGUGUAGCGGUGAAAUGCGUAGAGAUCUGGAGGAACAUCAAUGGCGAAGGCAACUCCCUGGCCAAAGACUGACGCUCAUGUGCGAAAGUGUGGGUAGCGAACAGGAUUAGAUACCCUGGUAGUCCACACCGUAAACGCUGUCUACUAGCUGUUUGUGAAUUUAAUUCGUGAGUAGCGAAGCUAACGCGAUAAGUAGACCGCCUGGGGAGUACGGCCGCAAGGUUAAAACUCAAAUGAAUUGACGGGGGCCCGCACAAGCGGUGGAGCAUGUGGUUUAAUUCGAUGCAACGCGAAGAACCUUACCUACUCUUGACAUACUAGAAACUUUUCAGAGAUGAAUUGGUGCCUUCGGGAAUCUAGAUACAGGUGCUGCAUGGCUGUCGUCAGCUCGUGUCGUGAGAUGUUGGGUUAAGUCCCGCAACGAGCGCAACCCUUGUCCUUAGUUGCCAGCCUUAAGUUGGGCACUCUAAGGAGACUGCCGGUGACAAACCGGAGGAAGGUGGGGACGACGUCAAGUCAUCAUGGCCCUUACGAGUAGGGCUACACACGUGCUACAAUGGCGAGUACAAAGGGAUGCGAACCUGCGAAGGUAAGCGGACCCCUUAAAGCUCGUCGUAGUCCGGAUUGGAGUCUGCAACUCGACUCCAUGAAGUCGGAAUCGCUAGUAAUCGUAGGUCAGCAUACUACGGUGAAUACGUUCCCGGGCCUUGUACACACCGCCCGUCACACCAUGGGAGUGGGAUGCAAAAGAAGUAGGUAGCUUAACCUUCGGGAUGGCGCUUACCACUUUGUGUUUCAUGACUGGGGUGAAGUCGUAACAAGGUAAAUCACUAGUGAAUUCGCGGCCGCCUGCAGGUCGACCAUAUGGGAGAGCUCCCAACGCGUUGGAUGCAUAGCUUGAGUAUUCUA
This 1628-nucleotide ribosomal RNA is filed under the name uncultured bacterium. Its description in RNAcentral is "partial 16S ribosomal RNA". It matches the Rfam family "Bacterial small subunit ribosomal RNA". The record is from RNAcentral.